Molecule: ribosomal RNA, 253 nt
Filed under: uncultured bacterium
Lineage: Bacteria
Description: partial 16S ribosomal RNA
Rfam family: Bacterial small subunit ribosomal RNA
Source: RNAcentral
GACGUAGGGUGCGAGCGUUGUCCGGAUUUAUUGGGCGUAAAGAGCGUGUAGGCGGCCAGAUAGGUCCGUUGUGAAAACUGGAGGCUUAACCUCCAGCUGUCGAUGGAAACCAUCUGGCUAGAGUCCGGAAGAGGAGAGUGGAAUUCCUGGUGUAGCGGUGAAAUGCGCAGAUAUCAGGAAGAACACCCGUGGCGAAGGCGGCUCUCUGGGACGGUACUGACGCUGAGACGCGAAAGCGUGGGGAGCGAACAGG